RNAcentral lists this microRNA (21 nucleotides) under Lepisosteus oculatus (spotted gar). Its description in RNAcentral is "Loc-Let-7-P2b4_3p* (star (passenger))". Lineage: Eukaryota; Metazoa; Chordata; Actinopteri; Semionotiformes; Lepisosteidae. RNAcentral also lists the same sequence under 16 other names. The record is from RNAcentral.
CUAUACAGUCUAUUGCCUUCC